This is a non-coding RNA of Acanthosepion pharaonis, 96 nucleotides long. The record is from the annotation of a GenBank genome assembly. Lineage: Eukaryota; Metazoa; Mollusca; Cephalopoda; Sepiida; Sepiidae.
GUUGAAAUACCGAUUCUUUUUUACGAUCACCGAAGUAAAGCACCGUUGAGCCUGGUCAGUACUUAGAUGGGUGACCGUGUGUUAAUACCAGGUGCU